GUGAGUCAUCGAAUCUUUGAACGCAUAUUGCGCCCCUUGGUAUUCCGGGGGGCACACCUGUUCGAGCGCCAUUUCAACCCUCAAGCAAUGCUUGGUGUUGGGCAGGGUCCUUUAGGGGACCCGCCCGUAACUCGUAGGCGGCUUCCGACCCGCUCCCCCAGCGUAGCAGGCUAACGCACUCGCUCGGGGACGGUCAGCGUGGUCAGCCCAUUAAACCCCCCAAGGUUUGGCCUCGGAUCAGGUGGGGAUACCCGCUGAACUUAAGCAUAUCAAUAAGCGGAGGA
Molecule: unclassified non-coding RNA, 284 nt
Filed under: Pezizomycetes sp.
Lineage: Eukaryota; Fungi; Ascomycota; Pezizomycetes
Description: partial contains 5.8S ribosomal RNA, internal transcribed spacer 2, and large subunit ribosomal RNA
Rfam family: 5.8S ribosomal RNA (bases 1-71)
Source: RNAcentral